GGUUGAUCCUGCCGGAGGCUAUUGCUAUCAGGGUUUGACUAAGCCAUGCGAGUCGAGAGGUGAAAGACCUCGGCAUACUGCUCAGUAACACGUGGAUAAUCUGCCCUCAGAUGAGGAAUAAUCCCGGGAAACUGGGGCUAAUGCCUCAUAGGAGACGGGUGCUGGAAUGCUCUGUCUCUGAAAGGUCCGCCGUCUGAGGAUGAGUCUGCGUCCGAUUAGGUUGUUGUUGGGGUAACGGCCCACCAAGCCAUUGAUCGGUACGGGUUGUGGGAGCAAGAGCCCGGAGAUGGAUUCUGAGACAUGAAUCCAGGCCCUACGGGGCGCAGCAGGCGCGAAAACUUUACAAUGCGAGCAAUCGUGAUAAGGAAACCCUGAGUGCCUGUCAAUGCAGGCUGUUCUGGUGUUUAGUCCGCACCAGGAGAAAGGGCGGGGCAAGACCGGUGCCAGCCGCCGCGGUAAUACCGGCUGCUCGAGUGAUAGCCACUUUUACUGGGCUUAAAGCGUUCGUAGCUUGGUCGUUAAGUCUCUGGGGAAAUCUUCUGGCUUAACCAGAAGGCGUCUCAGAGAAACUGGCGACCUUGGGACCGGGAGAGGUAAGACGUACUUCGGGGGUAGGAGUGAAAUCUUGUAAU
RNAcentral lists this ribosomal RNA (632 nucleotides) under Methanocalculus alkaliphilus. RNAcentral's name for it is "bacterial SSU rRNA". It matches the Rfam family "Archaeal small subunit ribosomal RNA", at positions 6 to 646 of the family's 1478-position model. Lineage: Archaea; Methanobacteriati; Methanobacteriota; Methanomicrobia; Methanomicrobiales; Methanocalculaceae. The record is from RNAcentral.